RNAcentral lists this long non-coding RNA (5867 nucleotides) under Lotus japonicus. RNAcentral's name for it is "long non-coding RNA (LJAP_LNC002196)". The stretch from base 4521 to 4627 matches the Rfam family "Plant small nucleolar RNA R71". Lineage: Eukaryota; Viridiplantae; Streptophyta; Magnoliopsida; Fabales; Fabaceae. The record is from RNAcentral.
AUUCAGUUUAAGAGUCAAGUUCAAGGUUAAAAAGCGAGUAAAAUUCAGUUUUAAAGGUUGAUUGAUUGUUGUGAUAGUUAAUUAGAAAGCUAACAAAGAUAAGUGUGUGAUAAUCAAUGGUGAGAAUGCCUUGGGUUCUUGCUUGACUAAUUCAGUUCUAAUCAACCUAUUCUAUCCACAAAACUCCGAGUCUCUCCUUGAUGUUCUAGCCUAAUCAAUCAUCUAUCGAUGCCUCGCAUAGACAAUCCUCUCAAGCCAAAAGAUAAGCACAAUUCCUUGAUAACCUAAACAUUUGCUAAAGGCAUUAAGCAUGCAAUUCAGGCCAACAAACCCCAACCCUUCCUCUAUUCCUAGUAGCAAGUAUAGAAGAGGUAAUCCCACAACAAGUCCCUAAUCUAUAACAAACUUUCGUUCUAUUAUAGAAAAGUAUAAAGCUAGCACAUGUUCUAACUUGAAACAUAAAGCAUGGAUAUGGGAUUCAAGGGUUUACUCAGAGGAAUCAUGAAUAGAAAUAGGAAUUAAGAUUAAAACAUCAUAAGUCUUACAAAGAACCCAAAGAAAAAGGGGUUUAGCCAAGCAUGGCUAUGGAAUCCAUACAAGAAGAUAAAGAUGAAACCUGAAACAUAGAGCUUAGAGAAAGCUCCUCAAGCUCCAGAACUCAAACCCUCUCUUCUAACUUAUGAAAAUAUGAUAAAAUGACAAAAGGUUCCAAGAGAAAUGUCUAAAAACCAAUUUAUAGCCAAAACAGUCGAGUUUGGGCGCUCAGGCGCCAAUUCAGAGCGCCUGAGCGCCAAUUCCAGCCCAGAAACAUGCUCUCUGGAGGUGUCUGGCGCCUAGGCGCAAAUUCCCAGCGCCUAGGCGCCAAUUCCAAAAGCUUCAGGAAAUUGCACUAGCGCCUAGGCGCCAAUUCCCAGCGUCUAGGCGCUCAAGCUUCGCUGGAACAGACUUUUCAGCUCCUUGUAACUCCUCUUCAAGUCUCUUUAAGCCCUCCUUCAAUUCCAAGCUUCUUGGCCUUCCUCAUCCAUCAGUUUCAGACCUGGUAACUUAGGCACAAAGUAAAAGAGAUAUCUAGAAGCUUCAAAGAGUUAAUUAGCAAGGAGAACCUUCAAUUAAAAAAGAAAAGAUAUGCAAGUCCUCUAGCUAAUCAAAAUGCACGAAAGGUCCUUAUAAAACUACAAAAAUACAAAAACAAAAUAAAAACACAAAGAAAGAUAAAAAUGCAUGAUAAUGCAUGAAACACUACAUGAGACUCAACAAAAAGACUCGAAACAAACUAGGAAAUGACCCUAAAAACACUACUAAACUAGGGUCAUCACCCCACUAUACUCAACGACAGCUCGCCCUCGAGCGUAAAAUACACUCGCUUGCCCUCAAGCGCAAGAAAUGCUCCCAAACAAGUGCUCUCAACAAGGAAUACUUAAAAGAAAACCGGGGGAUUUAGCAACUACUACUGGUUCCAAAAGAAAGACACAACAAUCCACUUCAUGCAACUUUUAGACAAAGGAGAGUGUAGAGUCCAUCAUGAGAAGCAUAUAGAUCUAAAAUUCCUAGGAUGAGAUAUAUAUUAAGUGCACUGAGCACACAAGCAGUUCAUAGGUUCUAGAUAUCAUUCACUCAAGAGCAACCAAGAUUAAACAUGCACAAAUUCAAUGAGACUUCAAAGGGUUGAAAUGUUGGCUCGGUGAAGUACAAGGUGGUUGGUCCCUAAGGUAGUCUAAAGCUUCAAGCAUCUUGAGUGUGGUUCUAUUAGUAACCCCGAAGCUUUCAACAACAAACCUUUUAAGCACAAGUCUCUUGACCCCUUUUUCAACUUUAUUUUCUACUAUUUUUUCUUUCUUUUCAACUCCAACUUGAUUAGGAGUCUUUUUUUUCUUUUUCUUUUUCUUCUUUUUUUACAUUUGGGGCAAGAAACAUUCCCAAUUUUAAUUACUAGCUCCAACACAAUGCAAGGACCAACACUCCCCAAAAAUCCAACCUAUCAUCCAUCCCAAUCAUUUAGCUAACAAAGAAAUCUUCAAUUGGCUCAAAAGGGACAACUAGGGACAAAUGUUCAAGCCAACAAACUCUGAGGCUCAAAAACCUACAAGUCUCAAGAAUUGUACAAGUAUCACAAAGCAUGCAAAGAGUGAAAUCAAUACAGAACCAAGAAGUACAAGUGAGUCAGGAUCCUCCAGGGAAAUUUUAUGGUGAAGGGUCAAAGAUGGACCCUUAUGGACUCACACCAACUCUAUCCUUAAGAAACACUCGGAAGACCGAAGUAUCCUCCUCUCUUCCCCAAAGCAUGCAAUCACUCAUCCCCAAAGACAACACAAGUAUUCACAAAAACAUUUUCAAAACCAGCACAAGCUAGAGAGCAUAACUAAGGGCAAAAACAUGUGAGUAUAGGGAAGUAAAGACCCCAAAAACGACUCUAACUUACUAUGCAUGAUGAAACAGAAAAGAAAGUUCUACAAAGAGAAAAUAUGCUAAAAAUGCAUGAAUUAACUUAAAGGAAAGAGAUACACCUCCUCUUCAAGGCAAGCACGGAGGCUAUAGAACCGCCUCCCACUAUUGAGUUGCAUGCUCUCUCCUCCUGCAAAAUGCAACAAACAAACAAGCGAAAUAAAACCAGACUUGGGUUGUCUCCCAAGCAUCCCUAAGUUAUAGUCCUAGGUGGACUCUCCUUCCUUUGAUGUUAGGAAGGAAAUUCCUUACCAUCAAUCUUUCUUCCACAUGUGCAAGGUAGGAACCUUGCACAAAACCUUUGGAACAACUCCUCCCAAGAGAGGGCAUCAUCCAAAUCAUCGUACCAAAUCCUUGCUCCCCUCUUCAAGGAAUGAAGGAAAAGCUUAAUCUUCAGCUCAUCACUAAUCACACCUUCCAUCUUUACAAGGUGACUAGCUUGAGUGAAUCGGGCCAUGUGGGCUUGGAAAUUCUCAUCUUUAGACCCCCCAUACUUGUUUUCACUAACAAGCUUGAUGAGAGCUUUAUUAAGCUCAACAUCUUUUUCACUUACCUUGGGGGUCUCCUUUGAAGACCUGGACAAGCUUUUGAUCAUAUCACAAACAAAAUUAUCAUUAAGGUUAGUUUGUGGACUAGGAUUGAAAACUGAAAAUCUUACCUUGUCCUCACCAACUCUGAGAAUGAGCUGACCCUUAUCAACAUCAAUUUUAGCCCCACCAGUGGCUAAGAAGGGUCGGCCUAGAAUGAGAGGAAUCUUUGUAUCCUCUUCCAUGUCCAGCACCACAAAGUCCACAGGGAACACAUACUUAUCCACCUUCACCAUAACAUCUUUUUCAAUCCCAUAUGGUGUUUUUAGGGAUCGGUCCGCCAUUUGUAAGGAAAGCAUGGUCGGGGUGACCUCUCCUAAGUUCAGCCUUCUAAACAUGCUAAGCGGCAUCAAGUUGAUGCUCGCUCCCAAAUCACACAAGGCUUCAACAACAGUCAACCCCUCAAUCUCCACUGGGAUAGUAAAACUCCCGGGAUCCCUUCUCUUCUUAGGCAUUUUUCUUUGCAAAAUGGCACUACACUCCUCGGUCAUCAUGAUAGUUUCUUCAACCUCACUCAACUUCCUUCUCUUAUUUAAAAUGUCCUUCAUGAACUUAGCAUAGAUAGGCAUUUGUUCCAAAGCAUCGGAAAAAGGGAUAUCAAUAUGGAGUUUCUUAAAAACAUCCAUAAAUUUUGAAAACUUUUUAUCCAAAUUCUUCUUAACCAAAGCCUUGGGGAAUGGAAUCUUACUAAGUUCAGGAGAAGGAGUGCUCACAACUCCAGCUUUCACAGGUUCACUCACUCUCUUCUCCGUAGCACCCUCAUAUUCUUUCUGUACUUUCUCAUUUUUCUCUCCCUCGACUUGUUUUUUUGACUCAUGUAACACUCUCUCACUCCUAGUGGUAACUACAGCAGAAUUUUCUUGUUUAGACAAAAUUAAAGAAUCGGGAGAAAACUUACCUUGAGGUAUCUCGGCCAUUUGCUUAGCUAGCUGGCCAAGUUGGUUCUCCAAGUUCUUGAUAGCCGCCUCUUGGUUCUUAUGGUUGUUGUUCAUGCGGUUGAUGCAACUCUCCAAUAGCUCCUCUAAACUCCUCUUGCAAUUCACCUUUCCAACAACUUGUGUUUGGACAAGAGGUUCAUGAUUUGAGGAUGGAACUAUGCUUCCUUGAGCUAUAGCUUUGGCUUCAUUGCUCUCAGCAUUGACAGUACACAAGUUACUAACAUGAGUUCCACCACAAGACUUGCACUCCACACAAGUCAUUCUUGCACCAACAGCCUUGGUCUCCUUAAUAUGCAUUCGAAUCUCCGCCACUUGUUCGGUGAGUUGCUUGUUGGAGGCCAAGAGCUUGUCAUAAGAUUCCACUUCAAACUUAUUCCUUCGGGUUUGGCGAUCAUUUUCAGAGUUCAUGGCUCUCGCUGCCAUCUUUUCUAUUAAGUCAUACCCCGCUUGUGGGGGAAGAGCAUCGAACUCGCCAUUUGAAGCCGCAUCUAGGCCAAACCUCCAAGAGUAUUGUAGACCAUCAUAAAAUGUUGCAACCAAUUCAGCUUGGGUGAGAUUGUGUUGAGGACAUUUCCUCAAUAGCUUCUUGAAGCGCUCCCAAGCUUCAUAGAUAUUUUCCUCAGUGGUUUGCACAAAAUUCAUAAUGUUUUUUUUCAGCUUCCUCAAAAGAGCUCUUGGGAAGAACCUUGUUGUGAAUUUUUCUGCUAGGUCUUCCCAAGUAGUGAUACUCCCUUGAGGUUGUGAAUUCAGCCAUUCCUCCGCUGCAUCCUUCAAAGAAAAUGGAAACAAGCUCAACCGAAUUGCAUCCGUCGGAACAUUGUUCACACGGUAAGUGUUGCAAUUCCGGAUGAACCUCUCCAUGUGAGCAUGUGGAUCCUCCAAAGUACCUCCACCAUAUUGGUUUUGGCUCACCAAGUUGAUGAAUGUCGGUCUCAACUUAAAGUUUCCCACUCCCUCGGGAAAGACAAUGCUCCCGGGAUAGUCAUAACUCAUGGUAGCCGAAGUGAGUUCCCGAAGAGACCGGUUGGCAUUCUCAACUUCUUGUUCACAUAAUCGGAGGGUGAUCCCCUCUUGGAUUCUUGCCUCGAUAUGGACUUGCAUCUCCUCCUCCGUCAUUUGGCCACCCAUGGUGGUGUCUCUUGUGAGAGUAGCCUGAAAGUUUGAUACUGAACAGAGAAAGAUUAGUAGCACCAAUUCUAGACAAGUUCAAAACAAAAAUAAAACCACAAACUAAAAACUUAAACCAAAAACCACAAACAAUUCCCCGGCAACGGCGCCAAAAACUUGUUGGUCAAUCUGCAAGUGCACAGAUAUCUCCGGGUUUUAAAUUAUCGAACCACAGGGAAUUGGUGUGGCAAUUCAGUUUAAGAGUCAAGUUCAAGGUUAAAAAGCGAGUAAAAUUCAGUUUUAAAGGUUGAUUGAUUGUUGUGAUAGUUAAUUAGAAAGCUAACAAAGAUAAGUGUGUGAUAAUCAAUGGUAAGAAUGCCUUGGGUUCUUGCUUGACUAAUUCAGUUCUAAUCAACCUAUUCUAUCCACAAAACUCCGAGUCUCUCCCUGAUGUUCUAGCCUAAUCAAUCAUCUAUCGAUGCCUCGCAUAGACAAUCCUCUCAAGCCAAAAGAUAAGCAAAAUUCCUUGAUAACCUAAACAUUUGCUAAAGGCAUUAAGCAUGCAAUUCAGGCCAACAAACCCCAACCCUUCCUCUAUUCCUAGUAGCAAGUAUAGAAGAGGUAAUCCCACAACAAGUCCCUAAUCUAUAACAAACUUUCGUUCUAUUAUAGAAAAGUAUAAAGCUAGCACAUGUUCUAACUUGAAACAUAAAGCAUGGAUAUGGGAUUCAAGGGUUUACUCAGAGGAAUCAUGAAUAGAAAUAGGAAUUAAGAUUAAAACAUCAUAAGUCUU